Molecule: ribosomal RNA, 443 nt
Filed under: uncultured bacterium
Lineage: Bacteria
Description: partial 16S ribosomal RNA
Rfam family: Bacterial small subunit ribosomal RNA
Source: RNAcentral
CCUACGGGAGGCAGCAGUGGGGAAUAUUGGGCAAUGGGCGCAAGCCUGACCCAGCAACGCCGCGUGAAGGAAGAAGGCUUUCGGGUUGUAAACUUCUUUUGUCAGGGACGAAGCAAGUGACGGUACCUGACGAAUAAGCCACGGCUAACUACGUGCCAGCAGCCUCGGUAAUCCGUAGGUGGCAAGCGUUAUCCGGAUUUCCUGGGUGUAAAGGGCGUGUAGGCGGGGAAGCAAGUCAGAUGUGAAAACCACGGGCUCAACCUGUGGCCUGCAUUUGAAACUGUUUUUCUUGAGUACUGGAGAGGCAGACGGAAUGCCUAGUGUAGCGGGGAAAUGCGUAGAUAUUAGGAGGAACACCAGUGGCGAAGGCGGUCUGCUGGACAGCAACUGACGCUGAGGCGCGAAAGCGUGGGGAGCAAACAGGAUUAGAUACCCUGGUAGUC